RNAcentral lists this long non-coding RNA (533 nucleotides) under Elaeis guineensis (African oil palm). RNAcentral's name for it is "long non-coding RNA (EGUI_LNC010018)". Lineage: Eukaryota; Viridiplantae; Streptophyta; Magnoliopsida; Arecales; Arecaceae. The record is from RNAcentral.
UAGCAUGACAAAUUGGAGAAGCUCCUGCCCCAUGUUUUGAUUUGCAGUUGGGAGAUAAGAACUGUGAACCUAUUGGAGGACUCGUUGCUCAAUGGAGAUGAUUGCCCACAUGAAGAUCAGCAAGCUUGUGAUCGGGCUGCUUGGGAAUAUACUAUUGGUGAACUUGAUAAACUCACUCCCUAAUAGGAGAACACUCACGGUUAUCAAGGAGAGGAAAAGCAAAGAUAACCAAGGCCCUCAACUCUGGUUCCACCAACACCCGGGCUGCCACUGCCUACGACCGUGCUCGGCCUUAUCACUUUUGAUGCCACCAUCCUCAAUGUCAUUUUUUACCUAGAUUACUUCAUCGUUACUAGCAUCGGCAUCAACUACAUCGAUUUUACCGUCAACACCCACUAUGAUAUCCCCACAGCGAGACAAAAUCAUGUCCAAAUCAAUCUGAUAUCGAUCAGAUCAGAAUCCGAAAUGGAUCAUCUCUAAAUCGGUGAGAUGCUGAUCAGAUUUGAUCAUCUUUGGAUUGACCAAAUACCAAC